AUGAGGGUUAUCUCACAGUCCCAGAUGCUGGAUAAGUUGGAGGAGGCGGAAUCACUUUUGGAUGACAUUCAGAAAGGCCUGAAUGCUUAUUGGGAGAAGAAAAGACUAUUCUUUCCAAGGUGUGUCGGUCCGGUGAUGAUCACAGACACUCCGCCAGCAUCUUGUGAGACAAAGGAUUCGCUCCUGAGCCCUGCCACACCUAAAAAAAAUGCUUUGAAGGGCUUGCCGAGCUCACUCUUAAUCAUGGGAGAGAAAUUACCCACAUGGAGUCAGCAGAAAAUGAAAAAGUGGGCCUCGUGCUGAGAUAAUUCCAGCAAGUGCCAAGGGGCUAGUUGAGAUAUGGCUUCAUGAGGUGAAUAUCUUUAGCUCUUACUUAGGGUUUAGUUACUGUAUAAUCAUUCUCUCUUUUAGGAGCAAUGAAUAUCCCAAGUGUGUUUCCUAACCAAAGCUCUGUCUCUUUCCAAGCAUCUCUCGGGAUAGUGACUGAUUCCGUAGGAAAUGGAGGUUCUGGGGCCCUGUUGUGGUUUUCUUCUACUCAGGACAAGUUGUAAAGAAGCAGAAUCUCAUUCAGCGACAACCCCAAGCCAGUGACUGCCACUGUCUGUGUGUAUUUGUCUAUCUGUUUGAGUAUCUGUCUAGUACUUGGUGUCUCCGUGUGUAUGUAUGUAUCUUUGUUCAUGUCCUUGUCCCCUCCUUAGGGAAAUAUCUUGGGCGGAUUAGAUAGCAGGUGGGUUUUGUCUGACCUGGAGUGGAGGAGUGGUUGGGGAAGGACCAAAGGUGUGAUUUUUUUUUGGGGGGGGGAGAAAGAGAAAAGAUGCAUGUCACCUUGAUAAUUAAUGACCAAUCUUAAUUUCCAGUCCGUGUUAAAGGACAGAGGGGGGCCAUCCCCUGAGGACACUAACCUGCCCCACCUUCCCUUUGGGGGGAUCAUAAUUCCAAUUAAACAUCAGUUUCAGUGUGAAAUUGGUUUGACUGCCUGUCUUUUGUUUGCCUGCUUUAACCCCUUUGUGCCUGUGCUCAUUUAGAAGCCCCCUUGAACUCCGUUCCAGUCCGAGGCCCAGGGUCAUCCCUAGCGGCCUGCAGCCUGUCUUCUGUUUCUUUUUUCUUAUUCUAAUGGAUAGGUCUGGGAUCAGAGUUUUUCUUUCACUUUCUAUUAUUAAACCCUCUUCCCAGGCCCUUGAUUCUGUGUCUACUUUUCUCAAAAG
This 1205-nucleotide long non-coding RNA is filed under the name Phascolarctos cinereus (koala). Its description in RNAcentral is "lncRNA (ENSPCIG00000036161.1)". The stretch from base 160 to 353 matches the Rfam family "Rhabdomyosarcoma 2 associated transcript conserved region 9". The record is from RNAcentral. Lineage: Eukaryota; Metazoa; Chordata; Mammalia; Diprotodontia; Phascolarctidae.